Molecule: ribosomal RNA, 510 nt
Filed under: uncultured bacterium
Lineage: Bacteria
Description: bacterial SSU rRNA
Rfam family: Bacterial small subunit ribosomal RNA
Source: RNAcentral
AAUCAACGCUGGCGGCGUGCCUAACACAUGCAAGUCGAACGCGAAAGCCCCUUCGGGGGCAAGUAGAGUGGCGUCCGGGUGAGUAACACGUGGGUAAUCUACCUCCGGGUGGGGAAUAACUCGCCGAAAGGUGGGCUAAUACCGCAUAAUGCAGCGGCACCGAAUGGUGAUUAGUUGUUAAAGCGGGGGACCUUAGGGCCUCGCGUCUGGAGAGGAGCCUGCGGCAGAUUAGCUUGUUGGUAGGGAAUGGCCUACCAAGGCUGCGAUCUGUAGCUGGUCUGAGAGGACGGCCAGCCACACUGGCACUGACACACGGGCCAGACUCCUACGGGAGGCAGCAGUGGGAAUUUUGGGCAAUGGGCGAAAGCCUGACCCAGCAACGCCGCGUGAAGGAGGAAAUCCUUCGGGAUGUAAACUUCACAAGCAAGGGAAGAGCGCGCAGGGUCGAAUAAACUCUGCGUCCGACGGUACCUUGCGUAAGCCACGGCUAACUACGUGCCAGCCGCCGCA